AUGGAGUCUUUGCGAUUGAUUAAUUUGAAAUUCAGUUGAGAACAUGACAAGUAGUCUCAAGAGCAUAACCUUAAAAGAGACUAGCAGACUUAUAAAUUCCAUCAUGGAUCGAACUAUAUCUGACAAAGUCGAUUCUAAUAAGAAAAAGUUUUAUUCUCUUCUACAUAUGUUAAAAACUAACCAAAAAGGUAUUCUCCUCCUUGGUC
RNAcentral lists this long non-coding RNA (206 nucleotides) under Elaeis guineensis (African oil palm). RNAcentral's name for it is "long non-coding RNA (EGUI_LNC049108)". The record is from RNAcentral. Lineage: Eukaryota; Viridiplantae; Streptophyta; Magnoliopsida; Arecales; Arecaceae.